UGGACUGAUACUGACUGGUCGAGGCCACUG
RNAcentral lists this non-coding RNA (30 nucleotides) under Bombyx mori (domestic silkworm). The record is from RNAcentral. Lineage: Eukaryota; Metazoa; Arthropoda; Insecta; Lepidoptera; Bombycidae.